AUGAACGCUGGCGGCGUGCCUAAUACAUGCACGUCGAGCGAACGGACGAGAAGCUUGCUUCUCUGAUGUUAGCGGCGGACGGGUGAGUAACACGUGGAUAACCUACCUAUAAGACUGGGAUAACUUCGGGAAACCGGAGCUAAUACCGGAUGAUAUUUUGAACCGCAUGGUUCAAAAGUGAAAGACGGUCUUGCUGUCACUUAUAGAUGGAUCCGCGCUGCAUUAGCUAGUUGGUAAGGUAACGGCUUACCAAGGCAACGAUGCAUAGCCGACCUGAGAGGGUGAUCGGCCACACUGGAACUGAGACACGGUCCAGACUCCUACGGGAGGCAGCAGUAGGGAAUCUUCCGCAAUGGGCGAAAGCCUGACGGAGCAACGCCGAGUGAGUGAUGAAGGUCUUCGGAUCGUAAAACUCUGUUAUUAGGGAAGAACAUAUGUGUAAGUAACUGUGCACAUCUUGACGGUACCUAAUCAGAAAGCCACGGCUAACUACGUG
Molecule: ribosomal RNA, 496 nt
Filed under: uncultured bacterium
Lineage: Bacteria
Description: partial 16S ribosomal RNA
Rfam family: Bacterial small subunit ribosomal RNA
Source: RNAcentral